RNAcentral lists this ribosomal RNA (253 nucleotides) under uncultured bacterium. RNAcentral's name for it is "partial 16S ribosomal RNA". It matches the Rfam family "Bacterial small subunit ribosomal RNA", at positions 524 to 776 of the family's 1533-position model. The record is from RNAcentral.
UACAUAGGGUGCAAGCGUUGUCCGGAAUCAUUGGGCGUAAAGAGCGUGUAGGCGGCCCGAUAAGUCCGCUGUGAAAGUCCAGGGCUCAACCCUGGAAUGCCGGUGGAUACUGUCGGGCUAGAGUCCGGAAGGGGCGAGUGGAAUUCCUGGUGUAGCGGUGAAAUGCGCAGAUAUCAGGAGGAACACCAAUGGCGAAGGCAGCUCGCUGGGACGGUACUGACGCUGAGACGCGAAAGCGUGGGGAGCAAACAGG